RNAcentral lists this transfer RNA (66 nucleotides) under Paragonimus ohirai. RNAcentral describes it as "tRNA-Ala". Lineage: Eukaryota; Metazoa; Platyhelminthes; Trematoda; Plagiorchiida; Troglotrematidae. The record is from RNAcentral.
GAUGACAUAGUUUAAGUUAGGAGAUGGCUGCUCUGCAAGUAGCCGGUGAGGGUUCCUCUGUUGUUG